This is a non-coding RNA of Punica granatum (pomegranate), 120 nucleotides long. The record is from Rfam. NCBI's taxonomy places the organism in Eukaryota, Viridiplantae, Streptophyta, Magnoliopsida, Myrtales, Lythraceae.
AGCUGCGCAGUGAGCACAGAUCGAACUAUUCUUUCGCCUUUUACUAAAGAAUACUGCGUGCUCGCUGCAAAUAGCAGCAUACAUAUGCCUAUUUCUGGUAAGGCCCGCCUUAACUGGCAG